RNAcentral lists this ribosomal RNA (571 nucleotides) under Berardius bairdii (Baird's beaked whale). Its description in RNAcentral is "partial 16S ribosomal RNA". It matches the Rfam family "Bacterial large subunit ribosomal RNA", at positions 1806 to 2610 of the family's 2925-position model. The record is from RNAcentral. Lineage: Eukaryota; Metazoa; Chordata; Mammalia; Artiodactyla; Ziphiidae.
AUCAAAAACAUCACCUCUAGCAUAAUAAAUAUUAGAGGCACUGCCUGCCCAGUGACAAUAGUUAAACGGCCGCGGUACCCUGACCGUGCAAAGGUAGCAUAAUCACUUGUUCUCUAAUUAAGGACUUGUAUGAACGGCCACACGAGGGUUUUACUGUCUCUUACUUCCAAUCAGUGAAAUUGACCUUCCCGUGAAGAGGCGGGAAUAACAAAAUAAGACGAGAAGACCCUAUGGAGCUUUAAUUAAUCAACUCAAAAACUACAAACCUAAACCACCAAGGGAUAACAAAGCUUUAUAUGAGUUGACAAUUUCGGUUGGGGUGACCUCGGAGUACAAAAAAGCCUCCGAGUGAUUAAAACCUAGGCUCACCAGCCAAAGUGUAAUAUCACUUAUUGAUCCAAAAUUUUUGAUCAACGGAACAAGUUACCCUAGGGAUAACAGCGCAAUCCUAUUCUAGAGUCCAUAUCGACAAUAGGGUUUACGACCUCGAUGUUGGAUCAGGACAUCCUAAUGGUGCAGCCACUAUUAAUGGUUCGUUUGUUCAACGAUUAAAGUCCUACGUGAUCUGAGU